GGAGGUAUAGCUCAGUGGUAGAGUGUAUGCUUAGCAUACAUGAGGUCCUGGGUUCAAUCCCCAGUACCUCCU
Molecule: transfer RNA, 72 nt
Filed under: Camelus bactrianus (Bactrian camel)
Lineage: Eukaryota; Metazoa; Chordata; Mammalia; Artiodactyla; Camelidae
Also listed under: 1 other name
Rfam family: tRNA
About the family: Transfer RNA (tRNA) molecules are approximately 80 nucleotides in length.
Source: Rfam by way of RNAcentral